GACGGACGCUGGCGGCGUGCUUAACACAUGCAAGUCGAACGGAAAGGCCCUGAUUUUGUGCGGUGCUCGAGUGGCGAACGGGUGAGUAACACGUGAGUAACCUGCCCUAGACUUUGGGAUAACUUCAGGAAACUGGGGCUACUACCGGAUAGGAGACCCUCUUGCAUGGUGGGGGUUGGAAAGUUUGGUCGGUUGGGGGUGGACUCGCGGCUUACCAGCUUGUUGGUGGGGUGGUGUGUUACCAAGGCAUUGACGGGUAGCCGGCCUGAGAGGGUGACCGGCCACAUUGGCACUGAGGUACGGCCCAGACUCCGACGGGAGGCAGCAGUGGGGAAUAUUGCACAAUGCGCGGAAGGCUGAUGCAGCAACGCCGCGUGCUGGAUAGCGGCCUUCGUGUUGUAAACCGCUUUCGCCUGUAACGAAGCGUGAGUGACGGUAAUGGAUAAAAAAGCACCGGCUAACUACGUG
This 468-nucleotide ribosomal RNA is filed under the name uncultured bacterium. Its description in RNAcentral is "partial 16S ribosomal RNA". It matches the Rfam family "Bacterial small subunit ribosomal RNA", at positions 28 to 507 of the family's 1533-position model. The record is from RNAcentral.